CCUACGGGAGGCAGCAGUGGGGGAUAUUGGACAAUGGGGGGAACCCUGAUCCAGCGACGCCGCGUGAGUGAAGAAGUAUUUCGGUAUGUAAAGCUCUGUCAGCAGGGAAGAAAGAAAUGACGGUACCUGACCAAGAAGCCCCGGCUAACUACGUGCCAGCAGCCGCGGGAAUACGUAGGGGGCAAGCGUUAUCCGGAAUUACUGGGUGUAAAGGGAGCGUAGACGGUUAAGUAAGUCUGGAGUGAAAGGCCGGGGCCCAACCCCGGGACUGCUCUGGAGACUAUUGAACUUGAGUGCAGGAGAGGUAAGCGGAAUUCCUAGUGUAGCGGUGAAAUGCGUAGAUAUUAGGAGGAACACCAGUGGCGAAGGCGGCUUACUGGACUGUAACUGACGUUGAGGCUCAAAAGCGUGGGGAGCAAACAGGAUUAGAUACCCUUGUAGUC
RNAcentral lists this ribosomal RNA (443 nucleotides) under uncultured bacterium. Its description in RNAcentral is "partial 16S ribosomal RNA". It matches the Rfam family "Bacterial small subunit ribosomal RNA", at positions 338 to 795 of the family's 1533-position model. The record is from RNAcentral.